This 468-nucleotide ribosomal RNA is filed under the name uncultured bacterium. Its description in RNAcentral is "partial 16S ribosomal RNA". It matches the Rfam family "Bacterial small subunit ribosomal RNA", at positions 28 to 507 of the family's 1533-position model. The record is from RNAcentral.
GACGAACGCUGGCGGCGUGCUUAACACAUGCAAGUCGAACGGAAAGGCCCUGCUUUUGUGGGGUGCUCGAGUGGCGAACGGGUGAGUAACACGUGAGUAACCUGCCCUUGACUUUGGGAUAACUUCAGGAAACUGGGGCUAAUACCGGAUAGGAGCGCCUGCUGCAUGGUGGGGGUUGGAAAGUUUCGGCGGUUGGGGGUGGACUCCCGGCUUAUCAGCUUGUGGGUGGGGUAGUGGCUUACCAAGGCUUUGACGGGUGGCCGGCAUGAGAGGGUGACCGGCCACCUUGGGACUGAGAUACGGACCAGAGUCCUACGGGGGGCAGUAGUGGGGAAUAUGGUCCAAUGGGGCGAAGCCUGAUGCAGCAACGUCGCGUGCGGGAUGCAGGCCUUCGUGUUGUAAACCGCUUUAGCCUGUGACGAAGCUUGAGUGACGUUAAUGAGUAAAGAAGCACCGGCUAACUACGUG